RNAcentral lists this ribosomal RNA (430 nucleotides) under Pseudomonadota bacterium. RNAcentral's name for it is "Proteobacteria bacterium partial 16S ribosomal RNA". It matches the Rfam family "Bacterial small subunit ribosomal RNA", at positions 355 to 776 of the family's 1533-position model. Lineage: Bacteria; Pseudomonadati; Pseudomonadota. The record is from RNAcentral.
UGGGGAAUAUUGGACAAUGGGGGGAACCCUGAUCCAGCCAUGCCGCGUGUGUGAAGAAGGCCUUAUGGUUGUAAAGCACUUUAAGCGAGGAGGAGGGUACUGGUAUUAAUACUACCAGGUACUGGACGUUACUCGCAGAAUAAGCACCGGCUAACUCUGUGCCAGCAGCCGCGGUAAUACAGAGGGUGCGAGCGUUAAUCGGAUUUACUGGGCGUAAAGCGUGCGUAGGCGGCUAAUUGAGUCGGAUGUGAAAUCCCCGAGCUUAACUUGGGAAUUGCAUUCGAUACUGGUUAGCUAGAGUGUGGGAGAGGAUGGUAGAAUUCCAGGUGUAGCGGUGAAAUGCGUAGAGAUCUGGAGGAACACCAGUGGCGAAGGCGACCACCUGGGCUCAUACUGACACUGAGGUGCGAAAGCGUGGGGAGCAAACAGG